This 83-nucleotide transfer RNA is filed under the name Schistocephalus solidus. It matches the Rfam family "tRNA". Rfam says of the family: Transfer RNA (tRNA) molecules are approximately 80 nucleotides in length. Their secondary structure includes four short double-helical elements and three loops (D, anti-codon, and T loops). Further hydrogen bonds mediate the characteristic L-shaped molecular structure. tRNAs have two regions of fundamental functional importance: the anti-codon, which is responsible for specific mRNA codon recognition, and the 3' end, to which the tRNAs corresponding amino acid is attached (by aminoacyl-tRNA synthetases). tRNAs cope with the degeneracy of the genetic code in two manners: having more than one tRNA (with a specific anti-codon) for a particular amino acid; and 'wobble' base-pairing, i.e. permitting non-standard base-pairing at the 3rd anti-codon position. Lineage: Eukaryota; Metazoa; Platyhelminthes; Cestoda; Diphyllobothriidea; Diphyllobothriidae. The record is from Rfam by way of RNAcentral.
GGCCUCGUAGCUCAGUUGGGUAGAGCGUUGGUUGUACUAAAUCCUUCCCCUUGCUGGCGUGGGUUCAAAUUCCACCGAGGCCA